RNAcentral lists this small RNA (126 nucleotides) under Salmonella enterica. RNAcentral describes it as "RtT sRNA". It matches the Rfam family "RtT RNA". From Rfam's summary of the family: This family represents a bacterial cis-regulatory element known as RtT RNA. Lineage: Bacteria; Pseudomonadati; Pseudomonadota; Gammaproteobacteria; Enterobacterales; Enterobacteriaceae. The record is from RNAcentral.
UUACUAUCUGCGAUAUGGAAGAUUCGAACCUGCCGCAGGUUCGAGUCUCACGCAGUGAGACAACGGAGCCGCUUGCGGCGACGGCCCGAAGGGCGAGCAAAGCGAGUCAUCCUGCACGACCCACCA